RNAcentral lists this ribosomal RNA (421 nucleotides) under uncultured bacterium. RNAcentral describes it as "bacterial SSU rRNA". It matches the Rfam family "Bacterial small subunit ribosomal RNA", at positions 367 to 803 of the family's 1533-position model. The record is from RNAcentral.
CGCAAUGGGCGAAAGCCUGACGGAGCAACGCCGCGUGAGGGACGAAGGCCUCUGGGCUGUAAACCUCUUUACUCAAGGAAGAAGAUAUGACGGUACUUGAGGAAUAAGCCACGGCUAAUUCCGUGCCAACAGCCGCGGUAAUACGGGAGUGGCAAGCGUUAUCCGGAAUUAUUGGGCGUAAAGCGUCCGCAGGCGGCUUUUCAAGUCAGCUGUUAAAGCGUGGAGCUUAACUCCAUCAUGGCAGUGGAAACUGAAAGGCUUGGGUAUGGUAGGGGCAGAGGGAAUUCCCGGUGUAGCGGUGAAAUGCGUAGAUAUCGGGAAGAACACCAGUGGCGAAGGCGCUCUGCUGGGCCAUUACUGACGCUCAUGGACGAAAGCCAGGGGAGCGAAAGGGAUUAGAUACCCCUGUAGUCCUGGCCGU